RNAcentral lists this unclassified non-coding RNA (336 nucleotides) under soil metagenome. RNAcentral describes it as "partial contains 5.8S ribosomal RNA, internal transcribed spacer 2, and large subunit ribosomal RNA". The stretch from base 1 to 120 matches the Rfam family "5.8S ribosomal RNA", at positions 35 to 154 of the family's 154-position model. The record is from RNAcentral.
GAUGAAGAACGCAGCAAAAUGCGAUAAGUAAUGUGAAUUGCAGAAUUCAGUGAAUCAUCGAAUCUUUGAACGCACAUUGCGCCCGCCAGUAUUCUGGCGGGCAUGCCUGUUCGAGCGUCAUUUCAACCAUUAAGCCCCAGGCUUGUGUUGGGGACCUGCGGCUGCCGCAGGCCCUGAAAACCAGUGGCGGGCUCGCUAGUCACACCGAGCGUAGUAGCAUACACAUCGCUCAGGGCGUGCUGCGGGUUCCGGCCGUUAAACCCCUUUUUUACCCAAGGUUGACCUCGGAUCAGGUAGGAAGACCCGCUGAACUUAAGCAUAUCAAUAAGCGGAGGA